UACGUAGGGUGCAAGCGUUAAUCGGAAUUACUGGGCGUAAAGCGUGCGCAGGCGGUUUUGUAAGACAGAGGUGAAAUCCCCGGGCUUAACCUGGGAACUGCCUUUGUGACUGCAAGGCUUGAGUGCGGCAGAGGGGGAUGGAGUUCCGCGUGUAGCAGUGAAAUGCGUAGAUAUGCGGAGGAACACCGAUGGCGAAGGCAAUCCCCUGGGCCUGCACUGACGCUCAUGCACGAAAGCGUGGGGAGCAAACAGG
This 253-nucleotide ribosomal RNA is filed under the name uncultured bacterium. RNAcentral describes it as "partial 16S ribosomal RNA". It matches the Rfam family "Bacterial small subunit ribosomal RNA", at positions 524 to 776 of the family's 1533-position model. The record is from RNAcentral.